RNAcentral lists this transfer RNA (87 nucleotides) under Candidatus Nomurabacteria bacterium. RNAcentral describes it as "tRNA-Leu". It matches the Rfam family "tRNA". From Rfam's summary of the family: Transfer RNA (tRNA) molecules are approximately 80 nucleotides in length. Their secondary structure includes four short double-helical elements and three loops (D, anti-codon, and T loops). Further hydrogen bonds mediate the characteristic L-shaped molecular structure. tRNAs have two regions of fundamental functional importance: the anti-codon, which is responsible for specific mRNA codon recognition, and the 3' end, to which the tRNAs corresponding amino acid is attached (by aminoacyl-tRNA synthetases). tRNAs cope with the degeneracy of the genetic code in two manners: having more than one tRNA (with a specific anti-codon) for a particular amino acid; and 'wobble' base-pairing, i.e. permitting non-standard base-pairing at the 3rd anti-codon position. The record is from RNAcentral. Lineage: Bacteria; Candidatus Nomuraibacteriota.
CCACGCGUGGUGAAAUUGGUAUACACGCUACCUUGAGGUGGUAGUGGGCGCGAGCCUGUGCUGGUUCAAGUCCAGUCGCGUGGACCA